This 18-nucleotide small nuclear RNA is filed under the name Arabidopsis thaliana (thale cress). Its description in RNAcentral is "snRNA_18500". The record is from RNAcentral. Lineage: Eukaryota; Viridiplantae; Streptophyta; Magnoliopsida; Brassicales; Brassicaceae.
GCCGUCACACGGAAUCGA